Etheostoma cragini (Arkansas darter) is the source of this 129-nucleotide long non-coding RNA. RefSeq lists it as uncharacterized. The transcript is spliced from 3 exons. The record is from RefSeq and is a predicted model, not a curated record. Lineage: Eukaryota; Metazoa; Chordata; Actinopteri; Perciformes; Percidae.
CUAUUUUAUCUCAGCGCACGGCGUGAAGAGUAUGGCGCAAGUGAGUUUAGGGCGUGUCCAAAUCCACUUUUGCUAGUUUGACAGGGGAAAAAAAGGGUCUGUACGCCAGACGCAUGGUUCAAAAGGGUU